GACGAACGCUGGCGGCGUGCUUAACACAUGCAAGUCGAACGGUGAAGCGCCUUCCUUUUUGGUGGGUGUGGAUGAGUGGCGAACGGGUGAGUAACACGCGAGUAACCUGCCCCCUUCUUCUGGAUAACCGCAUGAAAGUGUGGCUAAUACGGGAUAUUCUGGGUCUGUCGCAUGAUGGGUCUGGGAAAGAUAUUGUUUCGGUGGGGGAUGGGCUCGCGGCCUAUCAGCUUGUUGGUGGGGUGAUGGCCUACCAAGGCGGUGACGGGUAGCCGGCCUGAGAGGGUGGACGGUCACAAUGGGACUGAGACACGGCCCAGACUCCUACGGGAGGCAGCAGUGGGGAAUAUUGCACAAUGGGCGCAAGCCUGAUGCAGCGACGCCGCGUGAGGGAUGGAGGCCUUCGGGUUGUGAACCUCUUUCGCCAGUGAAGCAGGCCUGCCUCGUUUGUGGGUGGGUUGACGGUAGCUGGAUAAGAAGCGCCGGCUAACUACGUG
Molecule: ribosomal RNA, 494 nt
Filed under: uncultured bacterium
Lineage: Bacteria
Description: partial 16S ribosomal RNA
Rfam family: Bacterial small subunit ribosomal RNA
Source: RNAcentral